Non-coding RNA from Aspergillus egyptiacus, 88 nucleotides. NCBI's taxonomy places the organism in Eukaryota, Fungi, Ascomycota, Eurotiomycetes, Eurotiales, Aspergillaceae. The record is from the annotation of a GenBank genome assembly.
GUCUCCGUGGCGCAAUCGGUUAGCGCGUCUGACUGUUACUUGGUACAGGUCAAUCAGGAGGUUGACAGUUCGAUCCUGUCCGGGGACG